RNAcentral lists this ribosomal RNA (107 nucleotides) under Chrysemys picta bellii (western painted turtle). The record is from RNAcentral. Lineage: Eukaryota; Metazoa; Chordata; Testudines; Emydidae.
GUCUGCAGCCAGCCAACCUCAGACUGUGAUCCAGUAGGAUCUCGCAAGCUGGGCUGGGUCAGUACUUGGAUGCGACGCCUCCAAGGAACACCCAAGUGCUGCAGGAA